CCUACGGGAGGCAGCAGUGAGGAAUAUUGGUCAAUGGCCGGAAGCCUGAACCAGCCAAGCCGCGUGAAGGACGACGGUGCCAAGCAUUGUAAACUUCUUUUGUCAAGGGACAAAAUCAGGCUCGAGAGCCUGACUGAGGGUACUUGAAGAAAAAGCAUCGGCUAACUCCGUGCCAGCAGCCGCGGUAAUACGGAGGAUGCGAGCGUUAUCCGGAUUUAUUGGGUUUAAAGGGUGCGUAGGAUGGUCUAUAAGUUAGCGGUAAAAGCCCGGGGCUCAACCCCGGGGGAGCCGUUGAGACUGGAUGUCUUGAGAUGUCGAGAGGUAGGCGGAAUGCGCAGUGUAGCGGUGAAAUGCUUAGAUAUUGCGCAGAACUCCGAUUGCGAAGGCAGCAUACCGGCGGGGAUCUGACGCUGAGGCACGAAAGCGUGGGUAUCGAACAGGAUUAGAUACCCUGGUAGUC
Molecule: ribosomal RNA, 460 nt
Filed under: uncultured bacterium
Lineage: Bacteria
Description: partial 16S ribosomal RNA
Rfam family: Bacterial small subunit ribosomal RNA
Source: RNAcentral